UUUCUUGAGACACUACUAGCUCCUUUUCCAAGGCUCCUAAGCCAAGCCAGUCUUUUCCCUGCCCUGAAUUGUCCCAGGGCCAGAUCCCAGGCCACCAGACACCGCCCCUCUCGCUCCCCCCUCCAGGACGAUUCCGAUUGGACGACUUUCAACUGUUUGCUCCGCCCCACCACGGAGCCCUUCCUGGAAACCCCAAUAAAGGCUCUGUCUCAGGCCCUCCCCUCUCACUCUUCUCCGCCAACCCUCCCCAGGCCUGCGGCUUCUCCUGGGUCCCUGCCUGCUGCGUGGCGCCUCUCCCGACCGAAGGAGCGAAGCAGCAGCCUCGGGACCCAAUUCCUGCAUACAUGGUGUAAGCAAACAAUGUGAAACUUGGUUUCAGAAACAGAUGUGAAACUUGAUUUAAGAAACAGAAGUGAAACUUGAUUUAAGAAACAGAAGUGAAACCUGAUUUAGGAAACGAUCGACAGGACUUCAGAAAACUCUGUGAAGCUUGAUUUAAGAAACAGAUGUGAAAGUUGGUUUAAGAAACGAUCGACACGACUUCAGAAAGCUAUGUGAAACUUGAUUUAAGAGAAACCAGUUCGGCUGAUGUGGAAGACUCCGACCAUGUAGAAAUGGAGCCUGUUUUGCCUUCCUCGAGGACUGACAGUUGAAACGAUCAAUGGAAUGAUCAGCACAAACAGAAAAUAUUACUGUUACUGUAAUAUUAUGUGAUAUCCUCUAUAUCUAAGAUAUAUAUUAUAGAUAUGAUGUAAGAUAAGAUAUAUAUUAAAUAUAUAAUGUAAUAUAUAUUAUAUAACAUGUACUCUCUCUAUAUAUACAUAUGUAUCACGUAAUGUAUAUAUAUAAUGUAAUAUAAUAUUGCUGUUACUGGAAAGAUGACCGCAAGAAGUUGAUUUUUUAUCUACCAGAAGUUUUCUUCGCUGUGUUUUAAGUCGGCGAUCUGCUUUGAUCGUUUUGUUCGCUUCUGCUGUUUUGAGAAGAACGAUUUGAAAGUGAGCCAAAUAAAGUGUUCUUAAAUGGAAUGCGGUGUCUGGCCUCUUUGUGUGCUGAGGUCUGUGUGGGCUCAGGGCCAGGGUCUCUGCUCUGGGCCCUCCAGGAGGGUGGGUCAGUGGAACAGAGUCCUGGUCAGGCGUGGGGUGGAGACCUCUCUGGGGCCUAGGGCGGCCUGCCCAGGGGCUUGAGUCUGGAUGUGGUUCAGGGAAGGGGGGAGGGGAGGCCCAGAGGCUACAAGUGCAGCUCAGAGUCCUGAGGGCCUGGGAGAACCUCCUGCCUCAGGAGGCCACUCUCCAGGGAGGCUGAGUCUCAUGGUGGGUGGUCUGAGGGGCAGUAUCUGACCCGAGGACGAGGACGGGGCUAGGAAUUGGACCAGGGGACAAAUGGCAGCCGGGAGGAGAAAGCGGGGAAAUGACAGUGCACGGGGAAACCUCCCGGAGGCUUCCUGAUGUCAACUGCUUGGUGGCUGACACCCCGGAGGCCCAGAUCCAGCCCUUCGUCAAAUGUUGUCCACGUCUUCUCAGGUGGCUGCGCUGCGAGCCCCCGCUGGCGAAAAGUCCUCCGACCCGGACUGAUCUGGGCCUGUUCCUUUGAAGGCGGAAGUUUGGAAUGCCAACACCCAAGCGAGCCUUCUGGCAAAACCAAGUAAUCAACAGGCACGGGGACUGAACAAUUGAAACAGCUCCUUAGACUGUGCUGUUCCUCUGAGGGGUGAAAGACAUCCGACCGACCAGGCAAAGAGCUCUGAGCUUUCGAGAGGCACCCCGCCCCCAAAGACUGCCCCGGUCAUCUAGGGUUCCAGGUCCCCGCCCUCAGCCCUGUCCUCACCUCCUUGGGCUCUGCGACGUCCAAGGACAUCCUGCCCUCUACGCCUUCCACCUGGCACCCCCACGCCCACCUGCACUUCCUUCCCUCCUUCCAGGCUGCUCCGCAGCCUCUACUUGGUGCGUCCUUCUCAGGCCCUUGCACCUAAUUCCCUGGGGCGCUUCCUCCAUUGGAGGCUCAGGAGAAGAGGUCUUGGGGUACUAGGGAGGUGACAGUCUGCUUUUUGAGGUCACUCCCCGGUGAGGCUGACACUGCUGCACUCGGAUCCCGCUUGGACGACAAGGUGCGCUUCCUCACCCUGCUCAGAGCCCACACGGGAGACCCUGGCCCUCACGCUGGAAACCGAGAUCCCUGACCAGAGCUCCCCCCACCGCCCCCGCCUUCAGCCCCCUCUCCAUUCCCACCCCUCCUCCAGGUGGCAUGUCAGCACCUUCUUCCAUUCUGAGCCCCAGCUCUCUGCCUCCCUCCCUCCUUCCCUGGAAUCCCCUCUUGCCUCCGCUCCAGCCUUCUGCCCCAAGUGGACCCCUAUGCCCUCCAAUUCGCCUUGCUCCUUAGACUCUGGUCCCUACUGGACUCCAAUCACCCUCUCCUCACUCCUGGAGGGAGGAGCAGGAGAUGGAGGGCAGGCAGGAGCACGCAGCCCUCUCAGCUGCUGCAGCUCAGUCAUUUCCUCGGGAGGGUCGUGCCUUCCCCCACUGCCCCCAGAGCUUCAAGUUCUUCCCAAUUCAGUGCUUCAGGCUGAGGCCUCUCAGUUCUGUUCCCUGACCGAGCGCUCCAUCACUUCUCUGUCCCCAUCCCACUGGGGCAGCAGUGCUGGACGGCCCAACUUCCCCUGAACCCCUAGGUCUUCAGAAUGCUCAGUGCUCCCCUUUCCCCAUCAAUGUGUAGGCCGAGUUCUGCCUUCCUUGUCAGCUAAGGGGCCCUGCUCUGCGGCUCCAGGGUCCUGAGGAUGGAUCCUCUGCCGGGAGGUGGCAACAGGUGCAGGACGGAGACAUGCAGGGCCAGCUGGGAGCCACCCUUGUGUCUGCAGGUGGUCCUGUGGGGGAGGAACCCUGGCAAUGACUGAACUUCCUGCUCCAUUGGGUGUGGGCAGUGUGUGCCCUGGGGACUUCAGAGAGCGUGCACAGGCCUUUUCUAAGUUGGCAGGACAGGCAUUGGAGUUGGGAAUUGGAGGUCACUGUCCCCCCGAAAUCCCACUCAUUUGGGAUGCAGCCUGCAAAUGCUGCACCCUGAAGGGCGCCCGGCCGGUGCCGAGGCCCAGGCGCUGGCGGCCCAGCACAGGGACGCUCUGCACUUGUGGCCGCUGCGGAGAGACAGAGUUCUUGGAUGGGAAGACUGAGCCCGCAUGCUCAGCAGCAGCCAGCUCCCUCAGCUCCUCACUCCUACCGGGAGCACCCCCAUCCCUCUGAGGCACCUGCCCCUGUCCCCAGCCCCAUCCCACCUCUCACAGCAGUCUGGGAGCUGACUGCCCCAGGGACUUCCUGAAGGCCCUUGCUCUCUUUGCUCUGCUCCCGAAGCCUGCUGGGCGGAGGCCAGCAUCUCAUAGGAACCAUCUUCUGAGCCUGUGGCUUUUCACUUCAUUUUCCUUUUUCUUGCGCGUUUUGUUCUUUGUCUUACUUUUAAAAGUGGCUAGGUGGCUCGCUGACAGCCACCCUUCUCCGCUUUUUCACUUGAAGCACUUUUGCCCUUCCCAUUUGCCCACAAGUCCCACUACCCCUGCUUCUUGGGAGCUUUCCAGAAAGUGCUUACACUGUCGCUGAUCCGUGUUUUCCAAUUUCCAUUCUCAUUUCUCCUUCAGGGCGUGAGUGUUUUUAAAAAACAAAAAAAAAGGCUUGAUUCCAAAGAGAUGGUGUCUCUCUGCUUUUCCUCCCGCUCCGUCUUCUCAGCUAACACUCCAGUGUUCCCAGAACGCUCCAUCUUGGCGUCUUUCUGCAGUUGGCACUCUGGACUGCUAUGGUGCAAACAUUCGUCGAUGUUCCAGGUUGUCUUGAAAGAAUGGAUUACAAUACGACAUCUGCCUAGGUCUCUCGAUCCAGUUUCCUGCCUUGUUCCAGUGUUCCGUGUCCUCACUGAUUUCUCGGCCUGCUUCACCGAAGAGUUACUGAGACUUCGGCUCUAAUCUCCCAGCAAACGGGUGAAUUCCAAGUGGCGUUUUCAAGAGAUGUGUCAACCUAGUCCACGUUUGCCCGGAACGCCUGCCCACUUUCUGGGAUCACAUGAAGCCAUCCGGGGUCGUGUAGUGACUGUUCCUACAGCAACAUGUUGUCGUGGGCAUCCAUUCCCCCAGGGCCAAUUCGAGGAACUCCAGGGUUUCCUUUGGGUAUUCUGGGAGCUGUGACACUCGGGGGCCUUCCAGCCCCUGGGAGAGACUGCCCCUGCCGGGACUGGCCAGUUCCUAAAGACGGUGAAUGGCUGUCUUGGGGGCUGGCCUUUCUGGUGCUAGACAACUUCUUCUUUCUCGUUUUCAAAUGUUUGGGAGCCUUUGUGGCCUCCGUGGCUUCAAAUGAACAUUUCCUAGCAGGCAAAUCCAAGGGGAUUUGGGCGGCUUUCUUGAGACACUACUAGCUCCUUUUCCAAGGCUCCUAAGCCAAGCCAGUCUUUUCCCUGCCCUGAAUUGUCCCAGGGCCAGAUCCCAGGCCACCAGACACCGCCCCUCUCGCUCCCCCCUCCAGGACGAUUCCGAUUGGACGACUUUCAACUGUUUGCUCCGCCCCACCACGGAGCCCUUCCUGGAAACCCCAAUAAAGGCUCUGUCUCAGGCCCUCCCCUCUCACUCUUCUCCGCCAACCCUCCCCAGGCCUGCGGCUUCUCCUGGGUCCCUGCCUGCUGCGUGGCGCCUCUCCCGACCGAAGGAGCGAAGCAGCAGCCUCGGGACCCAAUUCCUGCAUACAUGGUGUAAGCAAACAAUGUGAAACUUGGUUUCAGAAACAGAUGUGAAACUUGAUUUAAGAAACAGAAGUGAAACUUGAUUUAAGAAACAGAAGUGAAACCUGAUUUAGGAAACGAUCGACAGGACUUCAGAAAACUCUGUGAAGCUUGAUUUAAGAAACAGAUGUGAAAGUUGGUUUAAGAAACGAUCGACACGACUUCAGAAAGCUAUGUGAAACUUGAUUUAAGAGAAACCAGUUCGGCUGAUGUGGAAGACUCCGACCAUGUAGAAAUGGAGCCUGUUUUGCCUUCCUCGAGGACUGACAGUUGAAACGAUCAAUGGAAUGAUCAGCACAAACAGAAAAUAUUACUGUUACUGUAAUAUUAUGUGAUAUCCUCUAUAUCUAAGAUAUAUAUUAUAUAUAUGAUGUAAGAUAAGAUAUAUAUUAAAUAUAUAAUGUAAUAUAUAUUAUAUAACAUGUACUCUCUCUCUAUAUACAUAUGUAUCACGUAAUGUAUAUAUAUAAUGUAAUAUAAUAUUGCUGUUACUGGAAAGAUGACCGCAAGAAGUUGAUUUUUUAUCUACCAGAAGUUUUCUUCGCUGUGUUUUAAGUCGGCGAUCUGCUUUGAUCGUUUUGUUCGCUUCUGCUGUUUUGAGAAGAACGAUUUGAAAGUGAGCCAAAUAAAGUGUUCUUAAAUGGAA
Molecule: non-coding RNA, 5392 nt
Organism: Equus caballus (horse)
Lineage: Eukaryota; Metazoa; Chordata; Mammalia; Perissodactyla; Equidae
Source: RefSeq, a predicted model, not a curated record